GACGAACCGUGCGAACGUUGUUCGGAAUCACUGGGCUUAAAGGGCGCGUAGGCGGGCGGCGAAGUCCGGGGUGAAAUCUUUCGGCUCAACCGGAAAAGUGCCUUGGAAACCAGCCGCCUUGAGGGAGGUAGGGGUAUGUGGAACUUCCGGUGGAGCGGUGAAAUGCGUUGAUAUCGGAAGGAACGCCGGUGGCGAAAGCGACGUACUGGACCUCUUCUGACGCUGAGGCGCGAAAGCUAGGGGAG
Molecule: ribosomal RNA, 245 nt
Filed under: uncultured bacterium
Lineage: Bacteria
Description: partial 16S ribosomal RNA
Rfam family: Bacterial small subunit ribosomal RNA
Source: RNAcentral